Non-coding RNA from Acanthosepion pharaonis, 115 nucleotides. The record is from the annotation of a GenBank genome assembly. NCBI's taxonomy places the organism in Eukaryota, Metazoa, Mollusca, Cephalopoda, Sepiida, Sepiidae.
UUGCGGCCAUAUCACGUUUAAACACCAGUUCUCGUCUGAUCAUUGAAGUUAAGUAACAUCGAGCCUUGUCAGUACAUAGAUGGAUGACUGCUUGAGAAUACCAGGUGUUGCAAGC